UCAAGUUACAGCGGAGGCGCUCUCGGGUGUCCUCCUGUCUGCAACCCUUGUCUUUUGCGUACUGUAUGUUUCCUCGGUGGGCUCGCCUGCCGAUAGGACAUUCAUAAACUCUUUGUAAUUGCAAUCAGCGUCAGAAAAACUUAUAAUAGUUA
Molecule: unclassified non-coding RNA, 152 nt
Filed under: uncultured Ascomycota
Lineage: Eukaryota; Fungi; Ascomycota
Description: sequence contains ITS1
Source: RNAcentral